This 465-nucleotide ribosomal RNA is filed under the name uncultured bacterium. RNAcentral describes it as "partial 16S ribosomal RNA". It matches the Rfam family "Bacterial small subunit ribosomal RNA", at positions 338 to 795 of the family's 1533-position model. The record is from RNAcentral.
CCUACGGGAGGCAGCAGUAGGGAAUCUUCCACAAUGGGCGAAAGCCUGAUGGAGCAACGCCGCGUGGGUGAAGAAGGUCUUCGGAUCGUAAAACCCUGUUGUUAGAGAAGCAAGUGCGUGAGAGUAACUGUUCACGUUUCGACGGUAUCUAACCAGAAAGCCACGGCUAACUACGUGCCAGCAGCCGCGGUAAUACGUAGGUGGCAAGCGUUAUCCGGAUUUAUUGGGCGUAAAGGGGACGCAGGCGGUCUUUUAAGUCUGAUGUGAAAGCCUUCGGCUUAACCGGAGUAGUGCAUUGGAAACUGGGAGACGUGAGUGCAGAAGAGGAGAGUGGAACUCCAUGUGUAGCGGUGAAAUGCGUAGAUAUAUGGAAGAACACCAGUGGCGAAAGCGGCUCUCUGGUCUGUAACUGACGCUGAGGUUCGAAAGCGUGGGUAGCAAACAGGAUUAGAUACCCUUGUAGUC